Molecule: ribosomal RNA, 1393 nt
Filed under: uncultured bacterium
Lineage: Bacteria
Description: bacterial SSU rRNA
Rfam family: Bacterial small subunit ribosomal RNA
Source: RNAcentral
AGUUUGAUCCUGGCUCAGGAUGAACGCUAGCUACAGGCUUAACACAUGCAAGUCGAGGGGCAGCAUGGUCUUAGCUUGCUAAGGCCGAUGGCGACCGGCGCACGGGUGAGUAACACGUAUCCAACCUGCCGUCUACUCUUGGACAGCCUUCUGAAAGGAAGAUUAAUACAAGAUGGCAUCAUGAGUCCACAUGUUCACAUGAUUAAAGGUAUUCCGGUAGACGAUGGGGAUGCGUUCCAUUAGAUAGUAGGCGGGGUAACGGCCCACCUAGUCUUCGAUGGAUAGGGGUUCUGAGAGGAAGGUCCCCCACAUUGGAACUGAGACACGGUCCAAACUCCUACGGGAGGCAGCAGUGAGGAAUAUUGGUCAAUGGGCGAGAGCCUGAACCAGCCAAGUAGCGUGAAGGAUGACUGCCCUAUGGGUUGUAAACUUCUUUUAUAAAGGAAUAAAGUCGGGUAUGCAUACCCGUUUGCAUGUACUUUAUGAAUAAGGAUCGGCUAACUCCGUGCCAGCAGCCGCGGUAAUACGGAGGAUCCGAGCGUUAUCCGGAUUUAUUGGGUUUAAAGGGAGCGUAGAUGGAUGUUUAAGUCAGUUGUGAAAGUUUGCGGCUCAACCGUAAAAUUGCAGUUGAUACUGGAUAUCUUGAGUGCAGUUGAGGCAGGCGGAAUUCGUGGUGUAGCGGUGAAAUGCUUAGAUAUCACGAAGAACUCCGAUUGCGAAGGCAGCCUGCUAAGCUGCAACUGACAUUGAGGCUCGAAAGUGUGGGUAUCAAACAGGAUUAGAUACCCUGGUAGUCCACACGGUAAACGAUGAAUACUCGCUGUUUGCGAUAUACAGCAAGCGGCCAAGCGAAAGCGUUAAGUAUUCCACCUGGGGAGUACGCCGGCAACGGUGAAACUCAAAGGAAUUGACGGGGGCCCGCACAAGCGGAGGAACAUGUGGUUUAAUUCGAUGAUACGCGAGGAACCUUACCCGGGCUUAAAUUGCAGAUGAAUUACGGUGAAAGCCGUAAGCCGCAAGGCAUCUGUGAAGGUGCUGCAUGGUUGUCGUCAGCUCGUGCCGUGAGGUGUCGGCUUAAGUGCCAUAACGAGCGCAACCCUUGUUGUCAGUUACUAACAGGUUCCGCUGAGGACUCUGACAAGACUGCCAUCGUAAGAUGUGAGGAAGGUGGGGAUGACGUCAAAUCAGCACGGCCCUUACGUCCGGGGCUACACACGUGUUACAAUGGGGGGUACAGAGGGCCGCUACCACGCGAGUGGAUGCCAAUCCCCAAAACCUCUCUCAGUUCGGACUGGAGUCUGCAACCCGACUCCACGAAGCUGGAUUCGCUAGUAAUCGCGCAUCAGCCACGGCGCGGUGAAUACGUUCCCGGGCCUUGCACACACCGCCCGUC